CAGGGAUUGCCCUAGUAACGGCGAGUGAAGCGGCAACAGCUCAAAUUUGAAAUCUGGCCCUUGGGUCCGAAUUGUAAUUUGUAGAGGAUGUUUUUGGUGCGGUAUCUUCCGAGUUCCUUGGAACAGGACGCCUUAGAGGGUGAGAGCCCCGUACGGUUGAAUGCCUAGCCUUUGUAAAACUCCUUCGACGAGUCGAGUAGUUUGGGAAUGCUGCUCUAAAUGGGAGGUAAAUUUCUUCUAAAGCUAAAUACCGGCCAGAGACCGAUAGCGCACAAGUAGAGUGAUCGAAAGAUGAAAAGCACUUUGAAAAGAGGGUUAAAUAGCACGUGAAAUUGUUGAAAGGGAAGGAUUUAUGACCAGACUUUUUCUAGGCGAAUCAUCCGGUGUUCUCACCGGUGCACUUCGUUUAGUUUAGGCCAGCAUCGAUUUUCGGGGUGGGAUAAAAGCUUUAGGAAUGUGGCUCCCUCGGGAGUGUUAUAACCUAUUGUAUAAUACCGCCCUGGGGAUCGAGGUACGCGCUUCUGCAAGGAUGCUGGCGUAAUGGUUAUCAAUCACCCGUCUUGAAACACGGACCAAGGAGUCGAACAUUUGUGCAAGUGUUUGGGUGUUAAACCCUCACGCGUAAUGAAAGUGAACGGAGGUGAGAGCCCUUACGGGUGCAUCAUCGACCGAUCCUGAUGUCUUCGGAUGGAUUUGAGUAAGAGCAUAACUGUUCGGACCCGAAAGAUGGUGAACUAUGCGUGGAUAGGGUGAAGCCAGAGGAAACUCUGGUGGAGGCUCGCAGCGGUUCUGACGUGCAAAUCGAUCGUCAAAUCUGCGCAUGGGG
Molecule: ribosomal RNA, 826 nt
Filed under: Allelochaeta walkeri
Lineage: Eukaryota; Fungi; Ascomycota; Sordariomycetes; Amphisphaeriales; Sporocadaceae
Description: partial 28S ribosomal RNA
Rfam family: Eukaryotic large subunit ribosomal RNA
Source: RNAcentral